AUUGAACGCUGGCGGCAGGCCUAACACAUGCAAGUCGAACGAGUGGCGGACGGGUGAGUAAUGUCUGGGCAACUUCCCGAUGGAGGGGGAUAACUACUGGAAACGGUAGCUAAUACCGCAUACCAUCGGAUGUGCCCAGCUGGGAUUAGCUAGGAGGGGGGGUAACGGCUCAACUAGGCGACGAUCCCUAGCUGGUCUGAGAGGAUGACCAGCAACACUGGAAGGAAGGAACGGACAAGACUACUAUGGGAGGCAGCAGGGAGGAAUAUUGCACAGUGGGAGCGAGCCUGAUGCAGGCGUGCCGAGUGUAUGAAGAAGGCCGUAGGGUUGAAAAGUACUUGCAGCGAGGAGGGAUUACUAGAAGAAGAAGCACCGGCUAACUCCGUGCCAGCCGCGGUAAUUC
Molecule: ribosomal RNA, 403 nt
Filed under: uncultured bacterium
Lineage: Bacteria
Description: partial 16S ribosomal RNA
Rfam family: Bacterial small subunit ribosomal RNA
Source: RNAcentral